This is a long non-coding RNA of Alosa alosa (allis shad), 314 nucleotides long. RefSeq lists it as uncharacterized. The record is from RefSeq and is a predicted model, not a curated record. Lineage: Eukaryota; Metazoa; Chordata; Actinopteri; Clupeiformes; Clupeidae. The transcript is spliced from 3 exons.
CCCCACGUGUCUGUGUAGACUGGAAUCAGCAACAUGGCAGCAUUAUACCCAGAUUUCUUACAUUGACAUAUUCAACACAGACAGGCUUGUGCGUUGCUGAAGCCGUUAAGAACAACCAGAGUAGGGUACAAAGAGGCAGGCGUGAUCUUUGUGUUACAGGUUUGGACUUCAGAGGUCUGUUGCCGAGGUUCCUCCCUGUCCUCUCAUCAUGGCCAGCGGGGAUGACGAUGACCCCAUCAUACAAGAGUUUGAUGUGUACUUGGCCAAAAGUCUUGCGGAUAAGCUGUAUCUGUUUCAGGUAAACACUAAAUGCU